RNAcentral lists this ribosomal RNA (763 nucleotides) under Cryocola sp. RNAcentral describes it as "bacterial SSU rRNA". It matches the Rfam family "Bacterial small subunit ribosomal RNA", at positions 48 to 822 of the family's 1533-position model. The record is from RNAcentral. Lineage: Bacteria; Bacillati; Actinomycetota; Actinomycetes; Micrococcales; Microbacteriaceae.
UUAACACAUGCAAGUCGAACGAUGAACCCGGAGCUUGCUCUGGGGGAUUAGUGGCGAACGGGUGAGUAACACGUGAGUAACCUGCCCUUGACUCUGGGAUAACCUCCGGAAACGGAAGCUAAUACCGGAUAUGACGUACGGAGGCAUCUCCUGUACGUGGAAAGAACUUCGGUCAAGGAUGGACUCGCGGCCUAUCAGGUAGUUGGUGAGGUAACGGCUCACCAAGCCUACGACGGGUAGCCGGCCUGAGAGGGUGACCGGCCACACUGGGACUGAGACACGGCCCAGACUCCUACGGGAGGCAGCAGUGGGGAAUAUUGCACAAUGGGCGCAAGCCUGAUGCAGCAACGCCGCGUGAGGGAUGACGGCCUUCGGGUUGUAAACCUCUUUUAGUAGGGAAGAAGCGAAAGUGACGGUACCUGCAGAAAAAGCACCGGCUAACUACGUGCCAGCAGCCGCGGUAAUACGUAGGGUGCGAGCGUUGUCCGGAAUUAUUGGGCGUAAAGAGCUCGUAGGCGGUCUGUCGCGUCUGCUGUGAAAACCCGAGGCUCAACCUCGGGCCUGCAGUGGGUACGGGCAGACUAGAGUGCGGUAGGGGAGAAUGGAAUUCCUGGUGUAGCGGUGGAAUGCGCAGAUAUCAGGAGGAACACCGAUGGCGAAGGCAGUUCUCUGGGCCGUAACUGACGCUGAGGAGCGAAAGCGUGGGGAGCGAACAGGAUUAGAUACCCUGGUAGUCCACGCCGUAAACGUUGGGCGCUAGAUG